Molecule: non-coding RNA, 70 nt
Organism: Dipodomys ordii (Ord's kangaroo rat)
Lineage: Eukaryota; Metazoa; Chordata; Mammalia; Rodentia; Heteromyidae
Source: Rfam
GGGAAUGUGGCUUAGUGGUAGAGUGUGUGCCUAGCAUGCAUGAGGCCCUGGGUUUGACUCCUCAGUACCA